ACACAUCUAGUGAACGAGCUCUCUGUGCUGCGCUGGAUAUCGAGUGCGAGCGCGUGAGUAUACAUGAGAACCUGCCCUGGAGACGCGGACGACAUCGCGAAGCUGAGGCUAAUACCGAUAUCCCUGCCGAGUCGCAUGACUUGGCAAGAAUAUACUCAGGUGCUCCAAGAGGGUCUCAUGCCCUAUCAGCUUGUUGGUGAGGUAAAAGCUCACCAAGGCUUAGACGGGUAGCUGGUCUGAGAGGACGAUCAUCCACACUGGGACUGAGACACGGCCCAGACUCCUACGGGAGGCAGCAGUGGGGAAUCUUGCGCAAUGGGCGAAAGCCUGACGCAGCCACGCCACGUGUGGGACGACGGCCCUCGGGUUGUAAUCCACUUUCAGCAGGGACGAAAAUGACGGUACCUGCAGAAGAAGCCCCGGCCACCUACGUGCCAGCAGCCGCGGUAACACGUAGGGGGCGAGCGUUGUCCGGAAUUACUGGGCGUAAAGGGCUCGUAGGCGGUUUGGUAAGUCAGAUGUGAAAACUCCAGGCUCACAUUGGAGACGCCAUCUGAUACUGCCAUGACUAGAGUUUGGUAGAGGAGUGCAGAAUUCCCGGUGUAGCGAGUGAAAUGCGCAGAUAUCGGGAGGAAUCCCAGUCAGCGAAGGCGGCUCUCUGGGCCACAACUGACGCUGAGGAGCGAAAGCGUGGGGAGCGAACAGGAUUAGAUACCCUGGUAG
RNAcentral lists this ribosomal RNA (723 nucleotides) under uncultured bacterium. Its description in RNAcentral is "bacterial SSU rRNA". It matches the Rfam family "Bacterial small subunit ribosomal RNA", at positions 51 to 793 of the family's 1533-position model. The record is from RNAcentral.